CCUACGGGGUGCUGCAGUGGGGAAUAUUGGACAAUGGGCGAAAGCCUGAUCCAGCCAUGCCGCGUGUGUGAAGAAGGCCUUCGGGUUGUAAAGCACUUUCAGUGGGGAAGAAAGCCUUGGGGCUAAUACCCUCGAGGAAGGACAUCACCCACAGAAGAAGCACCGGCUAACUCCGUGCCAGCAGCCGCGGUAAUACGGAGGGUGCGAGCGUUAAUCGGAAUUACUGGGCGUAAAGCGCGCGUAGGCGGUCUGAUAAGCCGGUUGUGAAAGCCCCGGGCUCAACCUGGGAACGGCAUCCGGAACUGUCAGGCUAGAGUGCAGGAGAGGAAGGUAGAAUUCCCGGUGUAGCGGUGAAAUGCGUAGAGAUCGGGAGGAGUACCAGUGGCGAAGGCGGCCUUCUGGACUGACACUGACGCUGAGGUGCGAAAGCGUGGGUAGCAAACAGGAUUAGAUACCCCAGUAGUC
RNAcentral lists this ribosomal RNA (465 nucleotides) under Vreelandella stevensii. RNAcentral describes it as "partial 16S ribosomal RNA". It matches the Rfam family "Bacterial small subunit ribosomal RNA", at positions 338 to 795 of the family's 1533-position model. The record is from RNAcentral. Lineage: Bacteria; Pseudomonadati; Pseudomonadota; Gammaproteobacteria; Oceanospirillales; Halomonadaceae.